GAAUUCAACUCCUACGGGAGGCAGCAGUAGGGAAUAUUGCUCAAUGGGGGAAACCCUGAUGCAGCCAUGCCGCGUGUGUGAAGAAGGCCUUCGGGUUGUAAAGCACUUUCAGUAGGGAGGAAAGGGUAAGUCCUAAUACGGCUUAUCUGUGACGUUACCUACAGAAGAAGGACCGGCUAACUCCGUGCCAGCAGCCACGGUAAUACGGAGGGUCCGAGCGUUAAUCGGAAUUACUGGGCGUUAAGCGCACGCAGGCGGUUUGUUAAGUCAGAUGUGAAAUCCCCGGGCUCAACCUGUGAACUGCAUCUGAUACUGGCAAGCUUGAGUCUCGUAGAGGGGGGUAGAAUUCCAGGUGUAGCGGUGAAAUGCGUAGAGAUCUGGAGGAAUACCGGUGGCGAAGGCGGCCCCCUGGACGAAGACUGACGCUCAGGUGCGAAAGCGUGGGGAGCAAACAGGAUUAGAAACCCCAGUAGUCCAGGCGUU
This 483-nucleotide ribosomal RNA is filed under the name uncultured bacterium. RNAcentral's name for it is "bacterial SSU rRNA". It matches the Rfam family "Bacterial small subunit ribosomal RNA", at positions 328 to 803 of the family's 1533-position model. The record is from RNAcentral.